Molecule: long non-coding RNA, 404 nt
Organism: Calidris pugnax (ruff)
Lineage: Eukaryota; Metazoa; Chordata; Aves; Charadriiformes; Scolopacidae
Exons: 3
Source: RefSeq, a predicted model, not a curated record
AGGAUACCUGUGAUCUUGAAAACCAGAAUAAUUGUAUUGUCUGAUGUCAACGUGGAGGAAGAAUGUGGAGCAUUCAGCAACGAUAAGCAAAACUUAAAUGCUUUGGAGGUGGAGUUACAACAAAACUCCCCGUUGCAGUGAUGGACACGUUCAAUAAUAUCCGGGAUGAAGAAGCUGGGAGGAGGCGCUGCUAAUAAUUGCGAAGGAUGUCAAGAAGGAAGAACUAAUGUGUUUAAACAUAUGGGCUGGGAUUCCUCUCACCUCACCAAUCAUGUAAAAAUUAGCACCCUGUUCUCCAAUUAGUCUCUGUACUGGGAGCGUGUGGAAGAAGGUAGCUGCGUCAUGGAGGUGACCAUCUGGGAGCCACAAGGCAUGGUCCAAGGGAGCACCAGUAGAUCUUGUGA